Molecule: ribosomal RNA, 253 nt
Filed under: uncultured bacterium
Lineage: Bacteria
Description: partial 16S ribosomal RNA
Rfam family: Bacterial small subunit ribosomal RNA
Source: RNAcentral
UACGGAGGAGGCAAGCGUUAUCCGGAAUUAUUGGGCGUAAAGCGUCCGCAGGUGGUUAUCCAAGUCUGCUGUUAAAGCGCGAGGCUUAACUUCGUACAGGCAGUGGAAACUGGGUGACUGGAGUAUGGUAGGGGUAGCGGGAAUUCCCAGUGUAGCGGUGAAAUGCGUAGAUAUUGGGAAGAACACCAGCGGCGAAAGCGCGCUACUGAGCCAUUACUGACACUCAUGGACGAGAGCUAGGGGAGCGAAAGGG